CUGUUAACGGGUUUUAUAACAACAAAAUUCUAUCCAGUUCGCACAAAUUGAAACGCUAAUUUUUCCAAAUAAAGAAUUUUCUGAAAUAUUCAUUAUAUUUCCUCAGUGUUUCUCGGUUGAAUUUUCAAAUUUGAAUAGCUGUUCAUCAGAAAUAUGUUGAAACUUGUAUGGUAUGGUGCGCUUUUAUUGCAUAUUUCAUUUGCAACGAUUGUGACGUGUAAAGCAAUAAAUGUCGAUGAUGAUGUUAAGUUCUUGCUUAUGCCGUAUGUUGAUUCCCUACUAUUUUGGACAAACACAACAUUGGAAAAACCAACAUCGGAAAAACCAACAUCGGAAAAACCAACAUCGG
Molecule: long non-coding RNA, 349 nt
Organism: Sitodiplosis mosellana (orange wheat blossom midge)
Lineage: Eukaryota; Metazoa; Arthropoda; Insecta; Diptera; Cecidomyiidae
Exons: 3
Source: RefSeq, a predicted model, not a curated record